ACACAUGUCAUUGUGAAUGACACUCUUUUUUCCCAAAUUUGACCAUUUUCACUUCUCAGUAAUUGAGUGGAAAAUUGGGUGCUCAUGGAUCUUUGGCCAUUUCAGGUUGGUGAUAUAAUGACAAGUACCAUUUAUGUUUGUUAGAUUAUAAUUUUUUUCUUUUUAUGAAAUUAUUAAUUUUGAGAUUGCGGGGCGGGUUGUAGUCUUUGGAGGUAGAAAAUAUAAACGGAGAAAAAAAGGUAAAGUGAGUGAUAGGAAGGCAUACGAUUGAGGUAAAAAUGGUAAGAAACGUACCUCAAUCUCUCUCAGUUGGCGGCAGCGGCAGAGGAGGAGGAGCAUCAUCGUCGUCUCAUGGUGCUGGAGCCUCGAUUAAUAUGGAUAGCCAAAUGCAAGUUGCUGAACAACUUGUUCUCGAUCUUCGUUACCCUGUUCGUCGUGAACGCGCUCUUUGAGAACUUUCGAAGGUUUAUUCUUCUCAUUUCAGUGGUUUACUUUCACGUUUCGCUUAAAUUGUUGAUUGAGACUUUAAUUUCACUUCGGUUAAAUGAUAGAGCAUGAUUUAUGAAUAAUUUGAUUCUGGAUUGUGGUUGAAGCUUCUUUUUAAUUGAGAGUUUAGGAGUUAGGGUUUCUCUUACCUCUUAGGCCUCAAGUUUAUGAAUAAUUUUUGAAUAAUUUUAUUCUGCAGAUUCGAGGUUUUGAUGACUAUUGCUUCUGAGUGUUGAGUUAUUAUUGGAUUUCGCUGAAAAUUUCGAUAAAAAUGACACUGACGACUUACUACUUUUGUUUUCCUUUUCCAGAAGAGGGAACUUUUCCAUGAUUUGGCGCCCUUGUUGUGCAACUCAUUUGGUACUUCCACUGUAUUCCUACAGGUACUUUGUAAAAUGUUUCAUUAUAAUUCUAGUUUUAUCUCAUCUAUCAUCUCUCUGAUUUUGCACUUGGCUACCCUUUAUCCUUUUAAUCUCAUCUCCCAUAUGCACAUGAAUGCUAAAGUACCACUUGACACUGAUGCUUCACACUGCACCAUUGAAAGUGAAGAAUAUAAGGAAGCAUUGAAUGACCUUCAUAACAAAGCUGUCUAGGUAACAUCUUAAUGAUCUUUUGAUUGGAAUUAUAGUUCUAGUUUUUUUUUAAGAAAAACAUUUGUAGAGUCUUAGGAUGAUAAAACAGGUUUGUGAAAUUUCUGGCUGGGGAGGGAGUGGGAGCUAGUCCCACGUUUCCAUGGGGUGCGUCCUUGUUGUAAUUUGUAGUCAGCUCAUAGCAAGGUUGAUUGUUUAAUAAUGGAAACUAGACAAUGUAUGUCAUUUUCAUUGUAUAUGUUGGGUUGCUUUAUAACAUAAAUGGAAUCAAAUCAUUUGGAGUAAAAUUUGGAAAUAAAUAUACAGGGAAAGUCUCAAAAUGGAAUCCUGAUGUGUUUUUUCAUAUUUGUUGGUUGUAGAUGUAGAUGGAACAGAUGAUGGAACCAAAAUCUCACUUCGAGAAAACAUUAACCCAAAAAAGAAAAAAGAAAAAUCACCACUAUGAGGAGAAACUAUUCUGUUAUUUAAAUCUAAUAUCAGCAUAAUGUUUUUAUACCUUGGCCCAACUUAUAUGGUAAAAAAAAGCUACUAUAUCAGAGCCAAUAUUUAAGUGAGGUAAGGUUAGUUUUUUUCCACUUAUUUUGGUAAUGGUGGAUCAGUUGUUGAUUGGGCUAUAGACGUGAAGGUUGUUUGGCCUUUGUUGGUUCUAUUGCGGUUCUAGAUCUAGAGAUUUGGUUUUAUUAGCUAUUUUUGAGUUUGAAAUUCUGGGAAUUGUCUCCUGGUUUGCUAAUAUUCUAGCAUAUUCUAUCCAUCUUUAUAUAGCCUGAUUUUAGAAUUAGUCCUAUUUUGGAUUCAUUCUUUCAAUUUUACUAGUUCAUCGCUCACUAGUGGUCAUAGUAUACAUGUUGAGAGGUCAUGGGCUUUCCUUUAAAGUUCGUUGGUUUCAUUGCCUGGUGAAAGUUUAUCUUGGUAUUGGUAUGGUAUUGGAUACUCCAUUCUUACCGUGAUAUGGUUCAUGUUUUGGUGAAAUUAAGAGAGGUGUGGAUAGCUGAUCUUUUAAAUCGACCAUCACAAGUUGCCAAUUUGAUGAUUUGCAAUUACCUUUUAAGCUUGAAUUAUCAUGUUUUUCCAUUGAUUUGAUGUUAAUAUCAUACUUAAUGACCAUUUUUGUAGGCAAAAGAGAAAGGGAUAAUGAUCAAGUCAUUCAAGUCAACAAGAGGCCAAAUGUGAAAGAAAAGAGUCAUUCAAGUAGAAGGUGGAGUACUGGCGUCGUCUUCAACGAAAAUUGAGAUGGAAAAUGAUUUUGAUGACAGCCGAAUGUACCAAUUGGAUGCUUGUUAAGAAUAGUAGGAGUAAAAAGAGUUUUUCCGUGCUUCGUUUUACUGUCAUUUUGUCUUAUUAUUUCGAUGGACUUCUCGGGCAUGGUUUUGUGUAAUUCGAUUGUGGAUUACGGUGGAAUUUCUGUAUAAUUGAGGGUUUAGGACUUAGGGUUUCUUCUGCAUCCUAGGGCUAAAAUUUGAGAAUAGUAGAAGAAUGCAUAUUCGAGAUUUUGAUGCUAUCU
Molecule: long non-coding RNA, 2577 nt
Filed under: Capsicum annuum
Lineage: Eukaryota; Viridiplantae; Streptophyta; Magnoliopsida; Solanales; Solanaceae
Description: long non-coding RNA (CANN_LNC015073)
Source: RNAcentral